Long non-coding RNA from Amaranthus tricolor (Joseph's coat), 2453 nucleotides. RefSeq lists it as uncharacterized. Lineage: Eukaryota; Viridiplantae; Streptophyta; Magnoliopsida; Caryophyllales; Amaranthaceae. The transcript has 3 exons. The record is from RefSeq and is a predicted model, not a curated record.
CAUGAAUAACUCAUAAACUAUUGUUCUGUAAUUGGCCAAAUAUAAAAAAUAUAGAGCAAAAUACAAGUUUUAUUCAAAAGACUUCUUUGUGACAUUCAAAAAUGGCAAAAAUCCCAUUUAUCUUCUUCACUGUGGUCAUUUCUGCAGUUGUUUUGCUCAAUCAAUCAGGAGCAGCCUUUGCUAAUGAAAAGAGAAGUACAGAGGAUGAAAACGGAAGCCUAGUAAGGCAAGUCUUUACAGCAGAACAAGCCUUGCGACACGAGGCGAAGUUUGAGACUUCAUCAGGCCAUUUGCAGUGCACUGAAUGUGGUGGAGAAUGCUCAGAUUGGAAUGAGUGUUGCGGACAUUGUGUUUGUGUCAUUGGCAGAUGCUUAUAUCUGCCCAUGUUGAAGGCUCUUGCUACUGAAAUAUAAUACUACCCCGCCGGCACUGAGAUUUUAGGGGCCAGGGCCAAAAAUAAAUUAUGGGCCUUAAUUAUAAAAUAUAUAUUUAUAAUUACAAAAUUUAUAAUAUAAAAAAAUAUUUCACGCCAAUAACAGAGCUUGAUAUUAUCUGCUUUUUAUUUGAUAAUCAUGCAUUUAAAACUCAAUAAUUAGUAAAUAAGGUAACAAUUAUCAUUAAUAACACUUUGGCUUGGUGGUUAAAUGCACAAUUUAAUCACAUAAGAUUUCAAAUUCGAUGCGGCAAAAUUUAUCUAUUUUUUUCGUGUGUCCUGGGCGCAAGCCGUGCCAUCAAAUUCAAUGGGGCAAAAUUUAUCUAUUUUUUUCGUGUGUCCUGGGCGCAAGCCGUGCCAACCUAUUGCUAAUUUUCCUAAUCACAAAAAGUAAUUUUAUGAAAGUAUUGAUGAGAUGAUUCAAACAAAAUUAUAUUUUAUAUUUGCACUUAUAUAUUAAUAUAGCAAUAUAUAAAAUAAACUUAAAUUAAAUAAUAAAUAAAUAGUAAUUUAUAUUUGAGUCUUGAGAACGGAGGAAAUCAGGCAACCAAAUGGAGUACAAAAAUAGGUAUUUAAAAGACGAGCGAAAAAUAUUGCAGUACCCAUUACUCUUUCAUUGCCGCCUUUGUCCCUCGUCGGAAAAAUCGAUUUCCGGUGCCGGAAUUCUAGGGUUCGAAGUUCCUAUGAAUCCAUGAGGCAUUUUAAUGGCAUUGCUCCUGUUAUGAUGAAUUGAAUGAUUUGCUGAGUAUGGGACAACAGCGUGUUUAGGAAAGCAUGACGGUCUCUUGGAGCGGGCAAAUAAUUUUUUUCACUUUUUAUUUAAGGGAAAUUCCACGUGGUGAUGUAUUGGGUUUUUUUUACGUGUAAUUAAAAUUUUUUAAAAAUCUAUGUGUUAAUCGUGAGAUUUAUCAUAUUCUUUUUCCGUGAUCUCUUUACAUAGAAAAUGUUUAAAAACGUUAAUUACAAAGCUUGAACUUUGCUGUACGCCUAUUUAUUUGUUUAUCGGAUCAAAUUGCAUUAGUUUCAUAAUUUGAUAGUAAAAGAGGAUGGAAAAAACUAGGUUUAAAUUUGGGGAAAUUAAUGUGAUUGGGAAGAAAGAUAGUUAGAGUUAGGGUUUAAGUUUUGGGGGAAAUUUAUGAAAUUGAUGCAAUUUAAUCUGGUGAAACGAAUGAAUAAGUAUAUCGCAAGGUUUAAGCUUUGCAAUUAACAUUUUCAAAAGUAUUCAGUGUUUAAAGGUCAAGAAGAAAGAAUUUAAUAGACCUCAGUGUUACCCUAUUAAUUUUUAAAAAGUUUUGGUUAAUACUGAAAUUUACCUUUAUCUAAUUUGUAAUUUUUUUGAAGUUUUGUUGAAUAAAGAACUGAAAUUGUGUUAAAUGCUAGAACGUUUCAAAUAUUUUCAAGUGAUUGGGUCAUUUGAGUUCUAAAUUAGGUUAAGAAAAAGGAUUGAGUAUAAUUUCUAUUUCGUAGCUAGUGCUCCUAUUAACAUAUUUAUAAGGAGUUGUAGUAUAAAAUAGUUUUAAAUCAUCAUAUUUUGAAAUAUUUUGGGUAGAGCAACAAUACUUUAUGUUAAAAAAUGAUCCUGUUUGAUUGGCAAAUAAGUUCUUGACAAAAAGGCAGUGAUCGUCACCAACUUUUCCCUUGAAUCUUAAUAAAUUACUUAUUAGAAGGUUAUUGAUUGUAAGUCGAUUUAGGUCGAUAUUAGAUAAAGAGAGAGCUAACGAGAUUUUCCGAGUUAUUAGUCCACAUUUUUUUGUGAUGAUGUUAAUUGCUUACAAAUGGAGGUAAUUAUUACAUUUUAUGUAGCUUAUGGUGAAUUUAAGGCUUCUAUCAUUGAUUUUAAUGACAGCAUGCAACUGGUCAGCGUAUCAGGUUCACCAACUGUGUAUAUAAUACGACUAAUUCUUUACAAAUACGACUAAUGUUAAACUAAUACAACUAUAAUAAUACUAAUACGACUAACACUAUACUAUUACAACUAUUAUUAUGUAAAUACGACUAAUAUUAUACUAAUACGCCUAAU